This is a non-coding RNA of Paramuricea clavata, 834 nucleotides long. The record is from the annotation of a GenBank genome assembly. Lineage: Eukaryota; Metazoa; Cnidaria; Anthozoa; Malacalcyonacea; Plexauridae.
ACAAACCAGCGAAGAUUAACAAAUACAUAAACGGAAAGUAAGUUUUAGGCUUCAUCCCUUGUCCUUGUUUAACAAAAUCGAUUUAAAUUGUUACUUUUUUCUAAAUUAUUGUUAAUAAUUUUUUUUAUUUUUUGGAUGCUCAGAAUGCAGGAAAUAGCAUUUCCGGGUUUCAAAUUUCAAAAAUUUUCUGGGGAUUAUCCCUCUAAUAAGCCGAUAAAUUACAGUUCAUAUUCUUUUUUACUUUUUGCGCAUUUUUUCCAUCUUUUACUUCAAAUACAAGUAUAGUUAGCAUAAAUUUUAGAGCAAAUUUGGAUGCUCAGAAUGCAGGAAAUGGCAUUUCCAUGCUUCAAAUUUGAAAAAUUUUCUGGGGGAAUACACCCCCAAACACCUGACCAUUGUUAUCCUCCUCUAAUAAGUAAUGAUAAAUGAUGGUUAUUUUUUUUUUACUUUUUGUGCGUUUUUUUCUUUGUUUAUUUCAAAUACAAGUAUAGUUAGCAUAAAUUUUGGACCAAAUUUGGAUGCUCAGAAUGCAGGAAAUGACAUUUCCGGGAUUCAAAUUUCAAAAAUUUUCUGGGGGAGUACCCCAGACCCCCCCCCCCCCAUUCAUGCGUGGUAUAUUGGCCACACGCGUGGCCUUCAGCCAUUGCUAUCCCCCUCUAAUAUAUUAUCUCACGGAAAGGUCCCUUUUCAAAAAAUGCCCCCCCGCCCCCACGGGAAAAUCCUUAAAAAAGGCCCUGGUGUUGCUUCAGUCACCUGCUCGCGGCUCACCCCCCUAAAAUUUCUGGCACCACCCCAGUAAAAAAUAUGAAAAUCCGUCUAUGUACUUAAUACUGG